UACGUAGGGGGCUAGCGUUGUCCGGAUUUAUUGGGCGUAAAGAGCGCGUAGGCGGCCAGGUAGGUCUGCUGUGAAAACUCGAGGCUCAACCUCGAGACGUCGGCGGAAACCAUCUGGCUAGAGUCCGGAAGAGGAGAGUGGAAUUCCUGGUGUAGCGGUGAAAUGCGCAGAUAUCAGGAAGAACACCCGUGGCGAAGGCGGCUCUCUGGGACGGUACUGACGCUGAGACGCGAAAGCGUGGGGAGCGAACAGG
This 253-nucleotide ribosomal RNA is filed under the name uncultured bacterium. RNAcentral's name for it is "partial 16S ribosomal RNA". It matches the Rfam family "Bacterial small subunit ribosomal RNA", at positions 524 to 776 of the family's 1533-position model. The record is from RNAcentral.